This 440-nucleotide ribosomal RNA is filed under the name uncultured bacterium. Its description in RNAcentral is "partial 16S ribosomal RNA". It matches the Rfam family "Bacterial small subunit ribosomal RNA", at positions 355 to 784 of the family's 1533-position model. The record is from RNAcentral.
UGGGGAAUAUUGCACAAUGGGCGCAAGCCUGAUGCAGCCAUGCCGCGUGUGUGAAGAAGGCCUUCGGGUUGUAAAGCACUUUCAGCGAGGAGGGAAGGUGGUGAACUUAAUACGUUCAUCAAUUGACGUUACUCGCAGAAGAAGCACCGGCUAACUCCAUGCCAGCAGCCGCGGUAAUACGGGAGGGUGCAAGCGUUAAUCGGAAUUACUGGGCGUAAAGCGCACGCAGGCGGUUUGUUAAGUCAGAUGUGAAAUCCCCGGGCUCAACCUGGGAACUGCAUUUGAAACUGGCAAGCUAGGAGUCUCGUAGAGGGGGGCAGAAUUCCAGGUGUAGCGGUGAAAUGCGUAGAGAUCUGGAGGAAUACCGGUGGCGAAGGCGGCCCCCUGGACGAAGACUGACGCUCAGGUGCGAAAGCGUGGGGAGCAAACAGGAUUAGAUA